GGAAUGGGACAUGAGUGGAAUGACACUUGCUACUACUGGAAGCGAUGGUGUAGUUCGCUUGUGGCAGUGCAACUUGAACGGAGUUUGGCAUGAGCAAGCAACAUUACAGCCCACUAGCUAGCCUGCUUAUAUGAUUUUCACAUUCAAGCUUGAACAAGAUUGCAAGAACCCAGUGAAACACAAGAUUCUGUGGUUUAUCCAUGUGACCGAUUUGUCGUCAGGCAUUUCAUUUUGUAAAGCUAAG
Molecule: unclassified non-coding RNA, 244 nt
Filed under: Hevea brasiliensis (rubber tree)
Lineage: Eukaryota; Viridiplantae; Streptophyta; Magnoliopsida; Malpighiales; Euphorbiaceae
Source: RNAcentral